Molecule: long non-coding RNA, 1652 nt
Organism: Vespa crabro (European hornet)
Lineage: Eukaryota; Metazoa; Arthropoda; Insecta; Hymenoptera; Vespidae
Exons: 5
Source: RefSeq, a predicted model, not a curated record
UGGGGACAGUCAUCGCCACUUUCACUUAUAGUUGAUAUUUUGUCCAUACCUGUCGCCGCAAUCACGCACGCUCUUGAGAAGGAUGAGAUAGGUUUUUAAGCUUAGUAUUUCUUUUUAUAUUUGUUGAAUGGCGUAUUCUUACAAAGUCUUUAGUUAAGACCGACAUUUAAUAAGACGUUUUUACUUGAUAUGAAGCAGUGUUUUACAAGGGAAUGUACUAUAUUUAUCAUUGAAAGAGGAUCAAAAUAAAGUCUGGAAGACCAUAUUGUUAAAAUGUGGGAAGGCCAGAAGAUUUCUAGAAAGAAUAAUAACGGAUCUGAGUCACAAUCGUCAAUCAGAGAAUUGACAAAAUGUUUUAAAAGAAAAUUGGCCAACCAUUGAUGCUCAGCAAUCUAUUAUUUCAUUUAAGAAUAAAAAAUGAUGACGUCGAUCCAGAAAUGUAUCAUUAUGCACUGGAUUAUUAUUAUGUUAAGGAAAUGAACGCAACAAAGAAAUAUUCCAUUGUGUAAUAGGUUGGUAUAUACCAAGAGUCUGUAUUUUCAUCUCGAUUCUGUUCUCGCUGGUAAUUAUUAGAUCCUCAACAAGAAUAUCGCCACGAUAAGAUCAUGCCUCAACAAACUGUUCAAUCCUCCAUGAUUACUGGAUUUUCAUUGAAUAAGAACGGUUAUUAUUCGUAUGAAAAUAGAAAAGAAAAAUAUCUUAGGGUUCAGGGAUAUCAUUCGAUAAUAUGUAUUCGUCAGUUAGUCGAUGGUUUCUCGUCGAAAAAUUCAUUAUAUUCUCUAUCGAAAGAUUCAUUAUGUACGCAAAGAUUGAGAAAAGCAAGAGAACUAUCCAAGAGAUCAUCGGAAUCAUCUGAAAGGAUAUUGAAGAACAUAGAGAUGACAGAGUAAAUUUAUUUAUCGAAUUUGCUUAGCCUUAUAACAAUCAUAGAAGAGGAGAAAAUCAGUUUAUUACAAAUGAUGCUUAAAGAGAAUGUCACUGAAGAUUGUGUGGAAACCAAUGAAUGAUCGUUGAUGAAAGAAGGAUAAGAUGUGGACCACGUUCUUGUAUCAAUCUUGCUAUGGCAAUCUAUCCUCACACGUACGUUUAUCUAUUCAAUGGAUCAUUUUAGCAGUAGACGCAUCGUUUCUAAGCUUUUUAUGGAAAAGAACAAAAAGUCCACGUGCUAAAGCAUCAUCGAAGGUUCAAGAGAUAUCUAUAAUGUCUAUAAUAACGAUAGUAGGAUGCGUAAAUCAAAGCAUUGGCUUAUUUGAGAUUUUUAUUUGGCGAUAAAUUGAACGAUUGGAACGAAAAAGUGAUUAAAUUUAUUGUCAGGUUUUUCACUAAUUAAUUAUUUAUCAUGUUAUGAAUAAAAGUUCGAUCACUGAAUACGUAAGCCAUUGUUUUAAUGUCUGUAGCAUUAAACGCUGAGAAAAUUUUCAUCAGCAAAUUCAUCGACAAUUAUUUUGUUUUAAUUAAAAGAAGUAAGCGAAUAGAUGAUUGCCGGAUUGUAUUCUCGAAUGUUUGAAGGAAGUAUGAAUUAGAGUCAGCUGAAGGUUCAAUUUAAGGUGUAUGAUUUGUCCAGUCGUUAGGAACAAAAUAAGAACUAGUUUUAUUAAUUACAUUUGAGCCUUUUUAACAUUUAAUAAAAUAAAAUUUGUUAUCAACCAGAA